Molecule: ribosomal RNA, 1024 nt
Filed under: Tenodera sinensis (Chinese praying mantis)
Lineage: Eukaryota; Metazoa; Arthropoda; Insecta; Mantodea; Mantidae
Description: SSU rRNA
Rfam family: Eukaryotic small subunit ribosomal RNA
Source: RNAcentral
AUUAAGCCAUGCAUGUCUCAGUGCAAGCCAAAUUAAGGUGAAACCGCGAAUGGCUCAUUAAAUCAGUUAUGGUUCCUUAGAUGAUGCACAGUUACUUGGAUAACUGUGGUAAUUCUAGAGCUAAUACAUGCAACUCGGUCCCGACCGGCGACGGAAGGGACGCUUUUAUUAGAUCAAAACCAAUCGGUCUUCGGGCCGUUUGUCUUGGUGACUCUGAAUAAAUUAUAGCAGAUCGCACGGCCUCCGAGCCGGCGACGCAUCUUUCAAAUGUCUGCCUUAUCAACUGUCGAUGGUAGGUUCUGCGCCUACCAUGGUUGUAACGGGUAACGGGGAAUCAGGGUUCGAUUCCGGAGAGGGAGCCUGAGAAACGGCUACCACAUCCAAGGAAGGCAGCAGGCGCGCAAAUUACCCACUCCCGGCACGGGGAGGUAGUGACGAAAAAUAACGAUACGGGACUCAUCCGAGGCCCCGUAAUCGGAAUGAGUACACUUUAAAUCCUUUAACGAGUAUCCAUUGGAGGGCAAGUCUGGUGCCAGCAGCCGCGGUAAUUCCAGCUCCAAUAGCGUAUAUUAAAGUUGUUGCGGUUAAAAAGCUCGUAGUCGGACUUGUGUCCCACGCUGCCGGUUCACCGCCCGUCGGUGUUCAACUGGCAUGCACGUGUGGACGUCCUGCCGGUGGCCCGAGCCGGCGCGGGUCUCGCACCCGUCGUCCGGGGAAGGCCUAUCAUACCUGUCGCGGUGCUCUUAACCGAGUGUCUCGAUGGGCCGGCACGUUUACUUUGAACAAAUUAGAGUGCUUAAAGCAGGCAGCAUCCGCCUGAAUACCGAGUGCAUGGAAUAAUGGAAUAGGACCUCGGUUCUAUUUUGUUGGUUUUCGGAACCCCGAGGUAAUGAUCAAUAGGGACAGACGGGGGCAUUCGUAUUGCGACGUUAGAGUGAAAUUCUUGGAUCGUCGCAAGACGGACCGAAGCGAAAGCAUUUGCCAAGAAUGUUUUCUCCUGAUCAAGACCGAAAGUUAGAAGGUU